AAUCGAACCCGGAGAUAGCUGGUUCUCCCCGAAAUAGCUUUAGGGCUAGCGUCGCAGCGAGAGAGCCGUGAAGGUAGAGCACUGAAUAUGCGAUGGCCGCAUCCCGCGGUACUGAGCAUAAUCAAACUCCGAAUGUCACGGUGUCAUCUGCGGCAGUCAGACGGCGAGUGAUAAGGUCCGUCGUCAAGAGGGAAACAGCCCAGACCAUCAGCUAAGGUCCCAAAGUGCAUGCUAAGUGGAAAAGGAAGUGGAGACGUGCAGACAACUAGGAGGUUGGCUCAGAAGCAGCCAUCCUUCAAAGAGUGCGUAACAGCUCACUAGUCGAAUGACUCUGCGCCGAUAAUUUACCGGGGCUAAGCAUGACACCGAAGCUAUGGACAGGAAUGUGGUAGGGGAGCAUUGCAUGCAGCGGAGAAGCAUGACCGAAAGGGCAUGUGGAGCGCAUGGAAGAGAGAAUGCCGGCGUGAGUAGCGGCACGUGGGUGAGAAUCCCACGCACCGAUGGCCCAAGGUCUCCAGAGGAAGGCUCGUCCUCUCUGGGAUAGUCGGGACCUAAGGCGAGGCCGAAAGGCGUAGCCGAUGGACGACGGGUGGAUAUUCCCGUACCCGAUGUGUGGCGAUGGAGUGACGGAGAAGGCUCAGGCAACCAGCUGCUGGAAUAGCUGGGGCAAGCGAGAUACCUGCGCACCAGGGAAAUCCGGUGCGCAUAAGGGGAAGGCGCGAUGCAUACGGAAAGCUUCGGCAAGUACGGAAAAGCUGAGAGCAGGCUUCCAGGAAAAGCUUCUAGCACAACACACAUCGGCCCGUACCGAAAAUGGACACACAUGGGCAAGGAGAGAAUCCUGAGGUGAGCGAGAGAACUAUAGCUAAGGAACUCUGCAAAAUGACCCCGUAACCUAGGGAGAAGGGGUGCUCCAGAAAUGGAGCCGCAGUAAAACGGCCCAAGCGACUGUUUACCAAAAACACAGCUCUCUGCGAAGGCGCAAGCCGAAGUAUAGGGGGUGACGCCUGCCCGGUGCUGGAAGGUCAAGGGGAGCUGUCAGCGCAAGCGAAGCAGCGAGCCGAAGCCCCAGUAAACGGCGGCCGUAACUAUAACGGUCCUAAGGUAGCGAAAUUCCUUGUCGGGCAAGUUCCGACCCGCACGAAAGGCGUAACGAUUUGGGCGCUGUCUCAGCUGUAGACUCGGUGAAGUCUUAGUACCUGUGAAGAUGCAGGUUGCCCGCGACUAGACGGAAAGACCCCAUGGAGCUUCACUGCAGGUUGACAUUGGGCUUGGAUGCAUGAUGUACAGGAUAGGUGGGAGGCUGUGAGCCGUGCGCGCCAGCGUACGGGGAGCCGCUGUUGGGAUACCACCCUUCAUGCAUCUAGGUCCUAACCGGAGGCAACGGGCCACGGGACAGUGUCAGUCGGGCAGUUUGACUGGGGCGGUCGCCUCCCAAAGAGUAACGGAGGCGCCCAAAGAUACCCUCAGCAUGGAUGGAAACCAUGCAUAGAGUGCAAAGGCAUAAGGGUGUCUGACUGCGAGACAUACAGGUCGAGCAGGGACGAAAGUCGGGCUUAGUGAUCCGGCGGAUCCGAAUGGAAGGGCCGUCGCUCAACGGAUAAAAGCUACCCUGGGGAUAACAGGCUGAUCUCCCCCAAGAGUUCACAUCGACGGGGAGGUUUGGCACCUCGAUGUCGGCUCAUCGCAUCCUGGAGCUGAAGUCGGUUCCAAGGGUUGGGCUGUUCGCCCAUUAAAGCGGUACGCGAGCUGGGUUCAGAACGUCGUGAGACAGUUCGGUCCCUAUCUGUCGUGGGCGCAGGAGGUUUGAGGAGAGCUGCCCCUAGUACGAGAGGACCGGGGUGGACGGACCGAUGGUGCACCAGUUGUCACGCCAGUGGCACAGCUGGGCAGCCAAGUCCGGACGGGAUAAGCGCUGAAGGCAUCUAAGCGUGAAGCCCCCUCCAAGAUGAGACCUCCCAUUGG
Molecule: ribosomal RNA, 1965 nt
Filed under: human gut metagenome
Description: bacterial LSU rRNA
Rfam family: Bacterial large subunit ribosomal RNA
Source: RNAcentral